ACGCGUGGAACCUUACCAGGUCUUGACAUCCUUCGUUACUUCUAGAGAUAGAAGGUUCCCCUUCGGGGGACGAAGUGACAGGUGGUGCAUGGUUGUCGUCAGCUCGUGUCGUGAGAUGUUGGGUUAAGUCCCGCAACGAGCGCAACCCUUGAUCUUAGUUGCCAGCAUUCAGUUGGGCACUCUAAGGUGACUGCCGGUGACAAACCGGAGGAAGGUGGGGAUGACGUCAAAUCAUCAUGCCCCUUAUGACCUGGGCUACACACGUGCUACAAUGGAUGGUACAAAGGGCUGCAAGACCGCGAGGUUUAGCCAAUCCCAUAAAACCAUUCUCAGUUCGGAUUGCAGGCUGCAACUCGCCUGCAUGAAGCUGGAAUCGCUAGUAAUCGCGGAUCAGCAUGCCGCGGUGAAUACGUUCCCGGGCCUUGCACACACCGCCCGU
RNAcentral lists this ribosomal RNA (439 nucleotides) under uncultured bacterium. RNAcentral describes it as "bacterial SSU rRNA". It matches the Rfam family "Bacterial small subunit ribosomal RNA", at positions 959 to 1397 of the family's 1533-position model. The record is from RNAcentral.